GGCUUUGCUCAGUGCCAGUAUCGUAGCCAAGGAGUUUUAUCUGAGAUGAGAUUAUUGCUAAUUGAAAACUUGUCCCAAUACCCUGCCGUGAUGACAUGCAAUAACGUCGGCAUUGACAAUUUUUGACAGUCUCUAGGGAGA
Small nuclear RNA from Aotus nancymaae (Ma's night monkey), 141 nucleotides. Its record names the gene U4. It matches the Rfam family "U4 spliceosomal RNA". From Rfam's summary of the family: U4 small nuclear RNA (U4 snRNA) is a component of the major U2-dependent spliceosome. The record is from Ensembl. NCBI's taxonomy places the organism in Eukaryota, Metazoa, Chordata, Mammalia, Primates, Aotidae.